CCCCGAGGAAAAGAAAUCAACCGAGAUUCCCCCAGUAGCGGCGAGCGAACGGGGAGGAGCCCAGAGCCUGAAUCAGUGUGUGUGUUAGUGGAAGCGUCUGGAAAGGCGUGCGAUACAGGGUGACAGCCCCGUACACAAAAAUGCACAUAUUGUGAGCUCGAUGAGUAGGGCGGGACACGUGGUAUCCUGUCUGAAUAUGGGGGGACCAUCCUCCAAGGCUAAAUACUCCUGACUGACCGAUAGUGAACCAGUACCGUGAGGGAAAGGCGAAAAGAACCCCGGCGAGGGGAGUGAAAAAGAACCUGAAACCGUGUACGUACAAGCAGUGGGAGCCUCUUAAUGGGGUGACUGCGUACCUUUUGUAUAAUGGGUCAGCGACUUAUAUUCUGUAGCAAGGUUAACCGAAUAGGGGAGCCGAAGGGAAACCGAGUCUUAACUGGGCGUUAAGUUGCAGGGUAUAGACCCGAAACCCGGUGAUCUAGCCAUGGGCAGGUUGAAGGUUGGGUAACACUAACUGGAGGACCGAACCGACUAAUGUUGAAAAAUUAGCGGAUGACUUGUGGCUGGGGGUGAAAGGCCAAUCAAACCGGGAGAUAGCUGGUUCUCCCCGAAAGCUAUUUAGGUAGCGCCUCGUGAAUUCAUCUCCGGGGGUAGAGCACUGUUUCGGCAAGGGGGUCAUCCCGACUUACCAACCCGAUGCAAACUGCGAAUACCGGAGAAUGUUAUCACGGGAGACACACGGCGGGUGCUAACGUCCGUCGUGAAGAGGGAAACAACCCAGACCGCCAGCUAAGGUCCCAAAGUCAUGGUUAAGUGGGAAACGAUGUGGGAAGGCCCAGACAGCCAGGAUGUUGGCUUAGAAGCAGCCAUCAUUUAAAGAAAGCGUAAUAGCUCACUGGUCGAGUCGGCCUGCGCGGAAGAUGUAACGGGGCUAAACCAUGCACCGAAGCUGCGGCAGCGACACUAUGUGUUGUUGGGUAGGGGAGCGUUCUGUAAGCCUGUGAAGGUGGCCUGUGAGGGUUGCUGGAGGUAUCAGAAGUGCGAAUGCUGACAUAAGUAACGAUAAAGCGGGUGAAAAGCCCGCUCGCCGGAAGACCAAGGGUUCCUGUCCAACGUUAAUCGGGGCAGGGUGAGUCGACCCCUAAGGCGAGGCCGAAAGGCGUAGUCGAUGGGAAACAGGUUAAUAUUCCUGUACUUGGUGUUACUGCGAAGGGGGGACGGAGAAGGCUAUGUUGGCCGGGCGACGGUUGUCCCGGUUUAAGCGUGUAGGCUGGUUUUCCAGGCAAAUCCGGAAAACCAAGGCUGAGGCGUGAUGACGAGGCACUACGGUGCUGAAGCGACAAAUGCCCUGCUUCCAGGAAAAGCCUCUAAGCAUCAGGUAACAUCAAAUCGUACCCCAAACCGACACAGGUGGUCAGGUAGAGAAUACCAAGGCGCUUGAGAGAACUCGGGUGAAGGAACUAGGCAAAAUGGUGCCGUAACUUCGGGAGAAGGCACGCUGAUAUGUAGGUGAAGCGACUUGCUCGUGGAGCUGAAAUCAGUCGAAGAUACCAGCUGGCUGCAACUGUUUAUUAAAAACACAGCACUGUGCAAACACGAAAGUGGACGUAUACGGUGUGACGCCUGCCCGGUGCCGGAAGGUUAAUUGAUGGGGUUAGCGGCAACGCGAAGCUCUUGAUCGAAGCCCCGGUAAACGGCGGCCGUAACUAUAACGGUCCUAAGGUAGCGAAAUUCCUUGUCGGGUAAGUUCCGACCUGCACGAAUGGCGUAAUGAUGGCCAGGCUGUCUCCACCCGAGACUCAGUGAAAUUGAACUCGCUGUGAAGAUGCAGUGUACCCGCGGCAAGACGGAAAGACCCCGUGAACCUUUACUAUAGCUUGACACUGAACAUUGAGCCUUGAUGUGUAGGAUAGGUGGGAGGCUUUGAAGUGUGGACGCCAGUCUGCAUGGAGCCGACCUUGAAAUACCACCCUUUAAUGUUUGAUGUUCUAACGUUGGCCCGUAAUCCGGGUUGCGGACAGUGUCUGGUGGGUAGUUUGACUGGGGCGGUCUCCUCCUAAAGAGUAACGGAGGAGCACGAAGGUUGGCUAAUCCUGGUCGGACAUCAGGAGGUUAGUGCAAUGGCAUAAGCCAGCUUGACUGCGAGCGUGACGGCGCGAGCAGGUGCGAAAGCAGGUCAUAGUGAUCCGGUGGUUCUGAAUGGAAGGGCCAUCGCUCAACGGAUAAAAGGUACUCCGGGGAUAACAGGCUGAUACCGCCCAAGAGUUCAUAUCGACGGCGGUGUUUGGCACCUCGAUGUCGGCUCAUCACAUCCUGGGGCUGAAGUAGGUCCCAAGGGUAUGGCUGUUCGCCAUUUAAAGUGGUACGCGAGCUGGGUUUAGAACGUCGUGAGACAGUUCGGUCCCUAUCUGCCGUGGGCGCUGGAGAACUGAGGGGGGCUGCUCCUAGUACGAGAGGACCGGAGUGGACGCAUCACUGGUGUUCGGGUUGUCAUGCCAAUGGCACUGCCCGGUAGCUAAAUGCGGAAGAGAUAAGUGCUGAAAGCAUCUAAGCACGAAACUUGCCCCGAGAUGAGUUCUCCCUGAGACUUAGAGUCUCCUGAAGGAACGUUGAAGACGACGACGUUGAUAGGCCGGGUGUGUAAGCGCAGCGAUGCGUUGAGCUAACCGGUACUAAUGAACCGUGAGGCUUAACCUU
RNAcentral lists this ribosomal RNA (2697 nucleotides) under Escherichia coli KTE168. RNAcentral describes it as "bacterial LSU rRNA". It matches the Rfam family "Bacterial large subunit ribosomal RNA". Lineage: Bacteria; Pseudomonadati; Pseudomonadota; Gammaproteobacteria; Enterobacterales; Enterobacteriaceae. The record is from RNAcentral.